GCGGGCGUAGUUCAGUGGUAGAACGUCAGCUUCCCAAGCUGAAUGUCGCCGGUUCGAUCCCGGUCUCCCGCUCCA
This 75-nucleotide transfer RNA is filed under the name Microvirga sp. RNAcentral's name for it is "tRNA-Gly". It matches the Rfam family "tRNA". From Rfam's summary of the family: Transfer RNA (tRNA) molecules are approximately 80 nucleotides in length. Their secondary structure includes four short double-helical elements and three loops (D, anti-codon, and T loops). Further hydrogen bonds mediate the characteristic L-shaped molecular structure. tRNAs have two regions of fundamental functional importance: the anti-codon, which is responsible for specific mRNA codon recognition, and the 3' end, to which the tRNAs corresponding amino acid is attached (by aminoacyl-tRNA synthetases). tRNAs cope with the degeneracy of the genetic code in two manners: having more than one tRNA (with a specific anti-codon) for a particular amino acid; and 'wobble' base-pairing, i.e. permitting non-standard base-pairing at the 3rd anti-codon position. Lineage: Bacteria; Pseudomonadati; Pseudomonadota; Alphaproteobacteria; Hyphomicrobiales; Methylobacteriaceae. The record is from RNAcentral. RNAcentral also lists the same sequence under 1 other name.